CUAUAGUCCCAGCUGAGGCAGGAGAAUCUCUUAAGCCCAAGAGUUUGAGCUUACUGUGAGCUGUGAUGCCACAACACUCUACCAGGGGGUGACAAAGUGAGACUUUGUCUCUAGAAUAAAAUAAAUAUGAAAUGUAGCCUUCUGAGCCUCGGUCCUUCACCCCCUCCCACUGAGCCUGUUCCCAUCUACUGACCAGAGUCUGUGAAUUCUCCAUUCUGAUUCCAUCCGCCCUUCCCCCACCCCAGCUAUCCAUUGUUUGAAAACUCUAAGAAUAAUCUCACUGCAUCAGUUUUUACUAGAACCAAUCACCUGUCAUGCCUGGAACAAGGAUCGUACCCAAAUUGCCCUUAGCCCCAAUAAUCACGAAGUGCAUAUCUUUAAGAAAAAUGAGAGCCAGUGGAUAAAAGCUCAUGAACUCAAGGAGCACAACAGACAUAUCACAGGUAUUGACUGGGCUCCCAAAAGCGACCGCAUCGUCCCUUGUGGGGCAGACUCAAUCCCUAUGUCUGGAGUCAGAAAGAUGGUGUCUGGAAGCCAACUCUGGUGAUUCUGAGAACUAAUCACACAGCCACUUUUGUGAAUUGGUCCCCCUAAGAGAACAAAUUUGCUUUGAGAAGUGGACCAUGACUCAUUUCUGUUUGUUACUUCGAGUCUGAAAAUGGCUGGUGAGUAAGCACACACAUUAAAAAGACGAUUCGCUCCACAGUCAAUCCUCAGCUUGGAUUGGCAUCCCAACAAUGUGGCAAAUGAGUUAUAACAAUGUGACUUCAAAUGCAGAGUGUUUUCUGCCUAUAUUAAAGAAGUGGAUGAAAAGCCAGUGAGGUAUACCCUGGGGCAGCCAGUUGCCUUUUGAUCAGCUGAUGUCAGAGUUAGGGGGCAGUUGCACAGGUGGCUGGGUCCAUGGGGUCAGCUUCUCCGCCAGUGGGAGCCGCCUGGCCUGUCAUGACAGCACCGUGUCUGUUGCUGAUGCUUCAAAAAGUGUACGGGUCUCAACUAUGAAAACAGAGUUCCUAUCACUCCUGAGUGUGUCAUUUGUCUCAGAGAAUAGGGUCAUGGCUGCUGGCCAAUGCUCUUUAACUACGAUGAUCGCGGCUGCUUGACCCUUGUGUCCAAGUUAGACAUUCCAAAACAGAGCAUCCAGCGCAACAUGUCUGCCAUGAAACGUUUCCGCAACAUGGACAAGAGGGCCAUGACCGAGGACUGUAAUACAGCCCUGGAGAAGCUGCACCCGAAUAGCAUCACUCAAGUGUCUACUUAUGAGGUGAACAAGCAAGACUGUCGCAAAUUUUGCACUACUGGCAUUGACGGAGCCAUGACAAUUUGGGAUUUCAAGACCUUAGAAUCUUCUAUCCAGGGCAUCCGGAUAAUGUGAAGCUGAGUGAGCCGCUGCCAUCCAGAAUGACAAACAGUCGCUGACCGCAGCUCUGCCAUUGGAUGGAGAGGAAAGCCAGCCACAAGGAAACACUGAAAACACAUAUCAUACAAAUAUUGUGUGGUUUUGUUUGAGUAUAAAAAUGGUGAAAGUAUUGGUUUUUUUAAACAAGCAGUGAUUUUUUUUUUUUUUUUUUUGCUAUUUCAUUCCAUUCUUGACCAAAGCUUCUCUUUAAGUAGUUUAUUUUGGAGAAUUGUCACACUAACUUAAAGGAAAGAGUGAGGGAGAUAUGUAAAUUUGUCCAGUAGAAAAUUAAAUUAAA
RNA transcript from Nycticebus coucang (slow loris), 1694 nucleotides. It is a transcript of the gene named actin-related protein 2/3 complex subunit 1A-like, with no coding region annotated. The record is from RefSeq and is a predicted model, not a curated record. NCBI's taxonomy places the organism in Eukaryota, Metazoa, Chordata, Mammalia, Primates, Lorisidae. The transcript has 2 exons.